AUUGGGGUGGCAGAGCAUGGCAUAUUGCGAAAGGCCUAAGCCCUUUUACACAGAGGUUCAAAUCCUCUUCCCAAUU
This 76-nucleotide transfer RNA is filed under the name Hampala macrolepidota (Hampala barb). RNAcentral describes it as "tRNA-Leu". It matches the Rfam family "tRNA". From Rfam's summary of the family: Transfer RNA (tRNA) molecules are approximately 80 nucleotides in length. Their secondary structure includes four short double-helical elements and three loops (D, anti-codon, and T loops). Lineage: Eukaryota; Metazoa; Chordata; Actinopteri; Cypriniformes; Cyprinidae. The record is from RNAcentral.